RNAcentral lists this ribosomal RNA (83 nucleotides) under Tropheryma whipplei. RNAcentral's name for it is "partial 16S ribosomal RNA". It matches the Rfam family "Bacterial small subunit ribosomal RNA", at positions 1453 to 1533 of the family's 1533-position model. The record is from RNAcentral. Lineage: Bacteria; Bacillati; Actinomycetota; Actinomycetes; Micrococcales; Tropherymataceae.
CCGUCGAAGGUGGGAUUGGUGAUUGGGACUAAGUCGUAACAAGGUAGCCGUACCGGAAGGUGCGGCUGGAUCACCUCCUUUCU